UCGGAUCGCAGGCUGAAACCCGCCUGCGUGAAGUUGGAAUCGCUAGUAAUCGCGGAUCAGCAUGCCGCGGUGAAUACGUUCCCGGGCCUUGUACACACCGCCCGUCACACCAUGAGAGUCGGGAACACCCGAAGUCCGUAGUCUAACCGCAAGGGGGCGCGGCCGAAGGUGGGUUCGAUAAUUGGGGUGAAGUCGUAACAAGGUACC
RNAcentral lists this ribosomal RNA (207 nucleotides) under uncultured bacterium. RNAcentral describes it as "partial 16S ribosomal RNA". It matches the Rfam family "Bacterial small subunit ribosomal RNA", at positions 1293 to 1500 of the family's 1533-position model. The record is from RNAcentral.